Long non-coding RNA from Strongylocentrotus purpuratus (purple sea urchin), 1148 nucleotides. RefSeq lists it as uncharacterized. NCBI's taxonomy places the organism in Eukaryota, Metazoa, Echinodermata, Echinoidea, Camarodonta, Strongylocentrotidae. The record is from RefSeq and is a predicted model, not a curated record. The transcript has 2 exons.
GUAAUGCACUUACGUAUGUACAGUGCGUACACAAUACACUUUGGACCGGCGGCCGAUAGAAUUAAACAGUGACUUUCUUUCUCUGGAAAAAGAAGACGAAAAAAGACACAAAAUGUCGGGAAUUGCAAGGACCCUAGUACUCCGUACUGCUCCAGUUUUCAGGACCAACCUCAUUCAAACAAGAGGAAUCAGAAGUGCGCCUCCCAAGACACCUCUGACGCUGGCGGAAAAAUUCAUCGGCAUGGGGGUCAUCAGUGCUGGCUGCCUCGUUAUCCCAGGAUACAUCAUGUCACACUUAGAUGUCUACAAGGCCAGGGAAUAAACCCAAAGUGGACUCUCUAUGGAAAAUCAUUGUGCAUCCAGAUUCUAUAUAUGUUCAAUGUCGUCACCAGGAGACUUGGUCUGUGUCUGCAGACAAACAUGUGAUUGUCCUUUCAGCAAUGACAUGGUGCUCAUUACAUGCUAUCAUGAUCAAUAUCACCAGGGGGGAAUAGAAUUGUCUAAUUGAAGAAGCAUUUAUGCAGGAGGGAGGAAUGAAGGAGAGACAGCUCUACAUGGAACUUCAUCCAGCUACAGUCCAAUGGGCAGCAGGAGUCUACAUUUGACUGCCACUGACUCAACACACAGUCUCACAUCAUCACAAAGUGUACCAGAAAUCUUUUCUCUUUAUGCUAAUCAAGGAAUCAAACAUUGUCAUCUACAGAGAGAGAAAAUACAAGAACCUUACAUGUAACAAGCGUCCAUGAGAAAUAUUUCUAGUGCUUGAGAUUGCCAUUGUGUUUUCAGUAAUUAGAUCUUUGUGAUACCGUUAUUUAUAGUGAGAGUAAAUCAACGAUGCACCCAAGUAAUUAUUCCAGAGCCAAGACAUAUUUUUCAGUGAUCCCCCUCUGUUCCCUGUACAGUUUUUGUCUACAGAAUCAUGUUAACAUAAUUCUCUGAAAUUUUGAAAAGAAAUAUAAUCAUGCCUGUGAUUUCUCCAGCAGACACCUGAAUACCUGAAUGAUCUGAUGUAGUUUUGGAUUUGCACAACUGCACAUCACAUCAUGUUUAUUCAUCUUUCUGUGUGUUUUUGUAAAUGACCAGUGUUCUGGUGACACAUAAUCAUGCUCUAUGGUGGAAAUUAUUAUUAAAGUUUUGAAGUGAAGAAA